CUCUACAGCCAUACCACGAUGAACACCCCAGAUCUUCUCUGAUCUCAGAAGCUAAGUAAGAUUGUGUCUGGUUAGUAACUUGGAUGGGAGACCACCUAGGAAUACAGGGUGCUAUAUGGG
This 120-nucleotide ribosomal RNA is filed under the name Phascolarctos cinereus (koala). Lineage: Eukaryota; Metazoa; Chordata; Mammalia; Diprotodontia; Phascolarctidae. The record is from RNAcentral.